RNAcentral lists this long non-coding RNA (278 nucleotides) under Lepisosteus oculatus (spotted gar). RNAcentral's name for it is "lncRNA (ENSLOCG00000023020.1)". The record is from RNAcentral. Lineage: Eukaryota; Metazoa; Chordata; Actinopteri; Semionotiformes; Lepisosteidae.
GCACAGACAGGAAAUGGUGACGUUCUCGAUGGCCAAAUAGAUUGGACUAGACGGAUGUUUAAGAGAAAAAGGGUGCCAAAAGUGGGAACUAUGAAUGUGAAGCAAGAAUACUCUUCCAGUGUUGAAAAACAGGUCGGUGAAAAAUAAGCAUCAGAUGGUUUGAAUCUUUACCGCCAAUCAGUAUUAUUAUCAGGGAUUGAUAACAUCCUCAAAGAAUGUUUCACUACUGGAACAGCCUUGGGCAAUCUCUGAAUGGAAGUUCCAAGCUUCCUUUUCAC